This 720-nucleotide ribosomal RNA is filed under the name uncultured Staphylococcus sp. RNAcentral's name for it is "bacterial SSU rRNA". It matches the Rfam family "Bacterial small subunit ribosomal RNA", at positions 57 to 758 of the family's 1533-position model. Lineage: Bacteria; Bacillati; Bacillota; Bacilli; Caryophanales; Staphylococcaceae. The record is from RNAcentral.
GCAAGUCGAGCGAACGGACGAGAAGCUUGCUUCUCUGAUGUUAGCGGCGGACGGGUGAGUAACACGUGGAUAACCUACCUAUAAGACUGGGAUAACUUCGGGAAACCGGAGCUAAUACCGGAUAAUAUUUUGAACCGCAUGAUUCAAAAGUGAAAGACGGUCUUGCUGUCACUUAUAGAUGGAUCCGCGCUGCAUUAGCUAGUUGGUAAGGUAACGGCUUACCAAGGCAACGAUGCAUAGCCGACCUGAGAGGGUGAUCGGCCACACUGGAACUGAGACACGGUCCAGACUCCUACGGGAGGCAGCAGUAGGGAAUCUUCCGCAAUGGGCGAAAGCCUGACGGAGCAACGCCGCGUGAGUGAUGAAGGUCUUCGGAUCGUAAAACUCUGUUAUUAGGGAAGAACAUAUGUGUAAGUAACUGUGCACAUCUUGACGGUACCUAAUCAGAAAGCCACGGCUAACUACGUGCCAGCAGCCGCGGUAAUACGUAGGUGGCAAGCGUUAUCCGGAAUUAUUGGGCGUAAGGCGCGCGUAGGCGGUUUUUUAAGUCUGAUGUGAAAGCCCACGGCUCAACCGUGGAGGGUCAUUGGAAACUGGAAAACUUGAGUGCAGAAGAGGAAAGUGGAAUUCCAUGUGUAGCGGUGAAAUGCGCAGAGAUAUGGAGGAACACCAGUGGCGAAGGCGACUUUCGUGGUCUGUAACUGACGCUGAUGUGCGAAA